This is a long non-coding RNA of Lagopus leucura (white-tailed ptarmigan), 772 nucleotides long. RefSeq lists it as uncharacterized. The transcript is spliced from 7 exons. Lineage: Eukaryota; Metazoa; Chordata; Aves; Galliformes; Phasianidae. The record is from RefSeq and is a predicted model, not a curated record.
UGCCACCCCAGGCUUUUCUGACUGAAGAAAUACUCAGAAAGUCUACUAAACUGAGUCUUCAUAAUGGCUCCUUGGUGCUGUACCACAAAUGGUGUCCAAGAAGAUGACCAUGGACCAAUCCAUAGUUGCUUCAUUAUAUGACUGAAUUUUUCUUGGACCUGGGUAUUCCUUUCCCCAAGUUGAGAUAUUCACCUGGAAGACCUGUUUCGUCAUCCUGAGCUUCUUUGUGUAACUCAGCCAACAGAACCUCCUGCAGAAGAGGAAAACGUCCCUCAAGAUGAUUUAUUCCUUCAAGAAGUAUAGAAGUGAAUGCAGUCAUUCCUUCUGCCCAACUCUGGCUUGGAUAAUCCACUAAAUGCUAAAUUCCAAGUGAAACUUCUGCAUCAUUUACUGGAGGUAUUACUAGAGUGGGGCACUGAGUAAAUCAUCAAGGGGCUUUGCUCUCACUGUGUGCUGUGCAUUCAUGUGUGUAACAAGAGCAUACACAAGGACAGUCAUGCAGUGCACUGUCUUGGAGGGCGUUUGCCUGCAUUCCCAAGGAGACUAAUCCACCUUAGAUACAGUACGUGUAAUUUUCGGGAAGCCUGAACUGCUUCAGUGUGUGCGCGCUGGCAGUUGGCUCUGUCAAGGUGCAUGACCUAUGCAGUAUUCUGGAGUUGGGUUCUCGUUCCAUGGACAGCUGCCAGCAUGAAAAGGAGACAACUCUAAAGAAUCAUCCUGAAGUCAUCCUAGCUAAAAAAAAAUCAAGCAGCCACCAGCCAGAAACCACCAG